Molecule: unclassified non-coding RNA, 291 nt
Filed under: Hevea brasiliensis (rubber tree)
Lineage: Eukaryota; Viridiplantae; Streptophyta; Magnoliopsida; Malpighiales; Euphorbiaceae
Source: RNAcentral
UACCCUCUCUCUUUCCUUGUUCUGUGAAUCCUGAAACAUCAAACAUGGGGGUCACCAUUGAAGAACUUUGCUGUGGCAGUAAAACCCAGAAAUACCUAGUCACCAUCCACCACCGCCUUGUCCAGGCCACGGUUACCUCCUCACGGACUGUGGUAGACAGGUGGAUCAAAGACCACCAUCAAGCUCCAUGCCACCAUCGCCAGCAAAAUUGUUGGCCUUGACAUAGAAUGGCGUCCAACUUUCAUACGCGGCAGCAGCCAGAAUCCGGUGGGAAUACUCCAACUCUGCAUC